GACGAACGCUGGCGGCGUGCCUAAUACAUGCAAGUAGAACGCUGAAGAGAGGAGCUUACUCUUCUUGGAUGAGUUGCGAACGGGUGAGUAACGCGUAGGUAACCUGCCUUGUAGCGGGGGAUAACUAUUGGAAACGAUAGCUAAUACCGCAUAACAAUGGAUGACACAUGUCAUUUAUUUGAAAGGGGCAAUUGCUCCACUACAAGAUGGACCUGCGUUGUAUUAGCUAGUAGGUGAGGUAAUGGCUCACCUAGGCGACGAUACAUAGCCGACCUGAGAGGGUGAUCGGCCACACUGGGACUGAGACACGGCCCAGACUCCUACGGGAGGCAGCAGGAGGGAAUCUUCGGCAAUGGGGGCAACCCUGACCGAGCAACGCCGCGUGAGUGAAGAAGGUUUUCGGAUCGUAAAGCUCUGUUGUAAGUCAAGAACGGGUGUGAGAGUGGAAAGUUCACACUGUGACGGUAGCUUACCAGAAAGAGACGGCUAACUACGUG
RNAcentral lists this ribosomal RNA (497 nucleotides) under uncultured bacterium. RNAcentral describes it as "partial 16S ribosomal RNA". It matches the Rfam family "Bacterial small subunit ribosomal RNA", at positions 28 to 507 of the family's 1533-position model. The record is from RNAcentral.